AUGGUUCACACUCACUUCUCUACUCCUGUUCAUGUUUUCCGUGCUGACUCUGCUGGAGAGUAUAUCUCCAAGAUGUUGCGUGGAGUCCUUGUUCAGCAGGGUACUCUUGCCCAGUUCUCUUGUCCUAGUGCUCAUGCUCAGAAUGGCAUGUCUGAGCGCAAGCAUCGUCACCUUCUUGAGACGGCUCAUGCGAUGAUGAUCGCUGCCUCUCUUCCGCCUCAUUUUUGGGCCGAUGCUAUCUCCACUUCCGCCUAUCUCAUCAACCUUCAGCCGUCCGCUGCUUUGCAGGGUGGCGUUCCUUUUGAGCGUCUUUUUGAUCGUUCUCCCGAUUAUUCGAUGCUUCGCUUGUUUGGUUGUGUUUGCUAUGUUCUUCUUGCCCCUCACGAAUGCACCAAACUGACCGCUCAAUCUGUUGAGUGUGUCUUCUUAGGCUACAGUGAUGAGCAUAAGGGCUAUCGUUGUUGGGAUCCUAUCGGUCGUCGGAUGCGUAUCUCUCGAGACGUGACUUUUGAUGAGUCUCGUCCCUUCUACUCACGCCCAUCUUCCUCGAUUUUUUCAGUGGAGGAUAUCUCUUUCCUCACUUUUCCUGACUCACCUAUCACCCCCGUCGCGCCUGUGCCUAUUCGUUCCACUCCCUCUGCUUCUCCACCUCUAGUCGAUUUGCAGCCACCAUCUUCUCCGGUCUCCUCGCCUAGCAUGUCACUGGAUUCUACACCUUCAUCUCCGGUGACUUCUUUGUCACCACCCCCCGAUUCUACCUUGGCGAUUCCUCCUUCUAUUGUUCCAUCUUUUCCUCAGCAUUACACUCGUCAUUCACGACCUAUGGAUGCCUCAUUGGAUGAGUCGUCCUCUUCCUCUCAGCCUACUUAUGGCUUGCAUUCUCUUCCUCGUCCGCCUGUUGAUCGCUUUGGAUUUCCCACCGCUGGUGCUGCUGUUCUUGAGCCGACUUCUUAUCGUCAGGCUGUUGUUCAUCCUGAAUGGCAGUUUGCGAUGGCAGAGGAGAUUGCUGCUCUUGAACGCACUGGUACCUGGGAUCUUGUUUCUCUUCCUCCCGGAGUCCGUCCCAUCACUUGUAAGUGGGUCUACAAGGUUAAGACUCGCUCCGAUGGUUCUCUUGAGCGUCACAAAGCUCGUCUUGUGGCUCGUGGUUUUCAGCAGGAGCAUGGUCGUGAUUAUGACGAGACUUUUACUCAUGUGGCCCAUAUGACCACAGUUCGUACACUUCUUGCCGUUGCCUCUGCACGCCACUGGUCUAUAUCUCAGCUUGAUAUUAAGAAUGCCUUUCUUAAUGGUGGGCUGCGUGAGGAGGUGUACAUGCAGCCACCACCUGGGUAUUCUGUUCCUGAUGGCAUGGUAUGUCGUCUUCGUCGCUCUCUCUAUGGCCUUAAGCAAGCCCCUCGCGCCUGGUUUGAGCGUUUUGCCUCUGUGGUCACUACUGCUGGUUUUUCAGCAAGUGCUCAUGAUCCAGCAUUGUUUAUUCACCUUUCUCCUCAUGGUCGGACUCUUCUUCUUCUCUAUGUUGAUGACAUGAUCAUCACUGGGGAUGACCCCAAGUAUAUUGCCUUUGUAAAGGCCUGUCUUAGUGAGCAGUUUCUUAUGUCUGAUCUUGGACCUCUUCGCUACUUUCUUGGGAUUGAAGUCUCUUCUACCUCUGAUGGCUUUUUUAUAUCCCAGGAAAAGUAUAUCCAGGAUCUUCUUGCUCGUGAUGCUCUUACUGACGAGCGCAUUGUUGAGACUCCUAUGGAGCUCAAUGUUCACCUCCGUGCUACUGAUGGUGAUCCUCUCCCUGACCCGACGCGUUAUCGUCAUCUCGUUGGCAGUCUUGUCUAUCUAGCUGUCACUCGUCCGGACAUCUCUUAUCCGGUUAAUAUUCUGAGUCAGUUUGUCUCUGCUCCCACAUCGGUUCACUAUAGUCAUCUCCUUCGUGUUCUCCGAUAUCUUCGGGGCACGAUCUCUCACCGUCUAUUCUUUCCUAGCUCCAGUUCUUUACAUCUUCAGGCCUAUUCGGAUGCUACGUAG
This 2019-nucleotide ribosomal RNA is filed under the name Triticum aestivum (bread wheat). RNAcentral describes it as "partial small subunit ribosomal RNA". Lineage: Eukaryota; Viridiplantae; Streptophyta; Magnoliopsida; Poales; Poaceae. The record is from RNAcentral.